This 467-nucleotide ribosomal RNA is filed under the name uncultured bacterium. RNAcentral's name for it is "partial 16S ribosomal RNA". It matches the Rfam family "Bacterial small subunit ribosomal RNA", at positions 28 to 507 of the family's 1533-position model. The record is from RNAcentral.
GAUGAACGCUGGCGGCGUGCUUAACACAUGCAAGUCGAACGGAAAGGCCCAAGCUUGCUUGGGUACUCGAGUGGCGAACGGGUGAGUAACACGUGGGUGAUCUGCCCUGCACUUCGGGAUAAGCCUGGGAAACUGGGGCUAAUACCGGAUAGGACCACUUCUUGGAUGUUGUGGUGGAAAGUUUUUUCGGUGUGGGAUGAGCUCGCGGCCUAUCAGCUUGUUGGUGGGGUAAUGGCCUACCAAGGCGUCGACGGGUAGCCGGCCUGAGAGGGUGUACGGCCACAUUGGGACUGAGAUACGGCCCAGACUCCUACGGGAGGCAGCAGUGGGGAAUAUUGAACAAUGGGCGCAAGCCUGAUGCAGCGACGCCGCGUGGGGGAUGACGGCCUUCGGGUUGUAGACUCCUUUCGCUAGGGACGAAGCGUUUUGUGACGGUACCUGGAGAAGAAGCACCGGCUAACUACGUG